RNAcentral lists this ribosomal RNA (404 nucleotides) under uncultured bacterium. Its description in RNAcentral is "bacterial SSU rRNA". It matches the Rfam family "Bacterial small subunit ribosomal RNA", at positions 355 to 776 of the family's 1533-position model. The record is from RNAcentral.
UAGGGAAUUUUCCGCAAUGGGCGAAAGCCUGACGGAGCAACGCCGCGUGAGGGAAGAAGGUCUUCGGAUCGUAAACCUUUGUCAUCGGGGACGAUCAUGACGGUACCCGAGGAGGAAGCCCCGGCUAACUACGUGCCAGCAGCCGCGGUAAUACGUAGGGGGCGAGCGUUGUCCGGAAUUACUGGGCGUAAAGGGCGCGUAGGCGGCCCAAUAAGUCAGAUGUGAAAAACCUGGGCUUAACCGAGGUCUUGCAUUUGAAACUGUUGGGCUUGAGGACAGGAGAGGAAAGCGGAAUUCCCAGUGUAGCGGUGAAAUGCGUAGAUAUUGGGAGGAACACCAGUGGCGAAGGCGGCUUUCUGGACUGACCCUGACGCUGAGGCGCGAAAGCCAGGGGAGCGAACGGG